This 1418-nucleotide transfer RNA is filed under the name Ensifer sp. RNAcentral's name for it is "partial contains 16S-23S ribosomal RNA intergenic spacer and 23S ribosomal RNA". The stretch from base 1083 to 1418 matches the Rfam family "Bacterial large subunit ribosomal RNA", at positions 1 to 223 of the family's 2925-position model. The record is from RNAcentral. Lineage: Bacteria; Pseudomonadati; Pseudomonadota; Alphaproteobacteria; Hyphomicrobiales; Rhizobiaceae.
UAGAUGGCACCAGUCANGUGACCAUCGAAUGCAAUACGCCGCAUAGAUGCUUUGCAUCAUGACGGUAUGGCGAGACCCGCCGUCCACGUUUCUCUUUCUCACAAGGAUACGAAUCACGCCGCAUCAUGUUGCGUGCUUAACGAAUGGGCCCGUAGCUCAGGUGGUUAGAGCGCACGCCUGAUAAGCGUGAGGUCGGCAGUUCGAGUCUGCCCGGGCCCACCAUUCGCUUAACGCUCAUGGUGACCCCGGCCAGUCUCUCUAGUUUGUUUGUCCUCGCGAUCUUCGAUCGCUGCGGGCAAACGGGCCGGGCCCUUCGGAGCGAUCCGGAGUGCAUCGAAGAUGGGGCUGUAGCUCAGCUGGGAGAGCACCUGCUUUGCAAGCAGGGGGUCAGCGGUUCGAUCCCGCUCAGCUCCACCAUUUUUGGAACUGGGGCGCCGGACGACCGGCGACGGCCUUUGGCCUUGCGAAGCUUUGCUUCGUUGGAGUGCCAAAGCGUGGGUUGGAUAUCCUUGGAGAAAAAAUAGGUUUGCAUCGUCUCCAUCGUGAGACGGAUGCCUGUUCUGCUUACAUUGUGAAGAGAAGAUAUGUCUGGAAGCUUCCAGGUGUUGAUGGUGAUCGAAAGGUUGCCUGAGACGUCCGAGCCCAGUCCCGAAGAAGCCAUGGAUGGUCUAGCCGACCGGAAGUGGAAGAGGGUCUGGAGGUAGGAAGGAAGUCUUGUCGUCAGGCAUGAUCGUUGUUGGGGUGUUCUUCGGAGCGCGCCUCUGACGGUCGUGUCGGAUUGGUGUUGCCUGACCGCGCAUCACCGGACAGAUCUCGAGAAGCUGGUCUUAAGAUAUGGCCUCGAAGUCGCUCGGCGUGACUUUUGUGAGGACCAUAUCGAACACGUCGAUGGCAUUGUUAGAAAGCGCGAUUGUAAAAGGUAAUCGCGCAUAGCUGGUCUGGAGAUUGCAAGGUUUCCGGAUUUUGGUUGCUGCGGCAUACGAAAGUUGCCCGGAUGGCCAGAUUUGGCACCCCUUCGAGCGCAAGCGAGGAGGAUAGGUUUGCCAAAUCCAGCAAAGGCGAUGAGCAUUGGCAAUGAGAACGAUCAAGUGAAAGAAGGGCAUUUGGUGGAUGCCUUGGCAUGCACAGGCGAUGAAGGACGUGAUACGCUGCGAAAAGCCGUGGGGAGCUGCGAAUGAGCUUUGAUCCAUGGAUCUCCGAAUGGGGCAACCCACCUUAGAUGCUUGGAAAAUCAUUUUGGUUGGCAUCUGGUAUCGAAGCCUUGAGGCUUCGCAAGGCCAGAGGCCGUCGCCGGUUAUCCGGCGUCAAGAAACCAAAGUGGUUUCCAAGCAUUGUUGAAAGGUAUCUUAUCCUGAAUUCAAUAGGGAUAAGAAGCGAACGCAGGGAACUGAAACAUCUAAGUACCUGCAGGAAAGGAC